Molecule: ribosomal RNA, 498 nt
Filed under: uncultured bacterium
Lineage: Bacteria
Description: partial 16S ribosomal RNA
Rfam family: Bacterial small subunit ribosomal RNA
Source: RNAcentral
AUUGAACGCUGGCGGCAUGCUUUACACAUGCAAGUCGAACGGUAACAGGCCGCAAGGUGCUGACGAGUGGCGAACGGGUGAGUAAUGCAUCGGAACGUGCCCAGUCGUGGGGGAUAACUAUCCGAAAGGAUAGCUAAUACCGCAUACGAUCUGCGGAUGAAAGCGGGGGACCUUCGGGCCUCGCGCGAUUGGAGCGGCCGAUGUCAGAUUAGGUAGUUGGUAGGGUAAAGGAUCACCAAGCCAACGAUCUGUAGCUGGUCUGAGAGGACGACCAGCCACACUGGGACUGAGGAACGGCCCAGACUCCUACGGGAGGCAGCAGUGGGGAAUUUUGGACAAUGGGCGCAAGCCUGAUCCAGCAAUGCCGCGUGCAGGAAGAAGGCCUUCGGGUUGUAAACUGCUUUUGUACGGAACGAAACGGCUCUGGUUAAUACCUGGGGCUAAUGACGGUACCGUAAGAAUAAGCACCGGCUAACUACGUGCCAGCCGCCGCCGUAA